CGAUUCUGUGGAGGCCUGAUCCAUAGCGGUACUGGUCGCAGCUCUUUCUGGAUAGAAAGAACGCUAUUGGGGAGCCAGUUGCGAAACCGGCCACGUAGCCG
RNAcentral lists this non-coding RNA (101 nucleotides) under unclassified sequences. RNAcentral's name for it is "Cyclic di-GMP-II riboswitch". It matches the Rfam family "Cyclic di-GMP-II riboswitch aptamer". The record is from RNAcentral.